UCGAGGGGCUCGGCGAGGUCGGCGCGGCGGCGCUGACGCAGCCGGAGGUGCCCGAGGUGCCGCCGCUCGUGACCGAGGCACGGCUCUUCGAGC
RNAcentral lists this transfer RNA (93 nucleotides) under Arenivirga flava. RNAcentral's name for it is "tRNA-Val". The record is from RNAcentral. Lineage: Bacteria; Bacillati; Actinomycetota; Actinomycetes; Micrococcales; Microbacteriaceae.